GAUGAACGCUGGCGGCGUGCCUAAUACAUGCAAGUCGAGCGAACAGACGAGGAGCUUGCUCCUCUGACGUUAGCGGCGGACGGGUGAGUAACACGUGGAUAACCUACCUAUAAGACUGGGAUAACUUCGGGAAACCGGAGCUAAUACCGGAUAAUAUAUUGAACCGCAUGGUUCAAUAGUGAAAGACGGUUUUGCUGUCACUUAUAGAUGGAUCCGCGCCGCAUUAGCUAGUUGGUAAGGUAACGGCUUACCAAGGCGACGAUGCGUAGCCGACCUGAGAGGGUGAUCGGCCACACUGGAACUGAGACACGGUCCAGACUCCUACGGGAGGCAGCAGUAGGGAAUCUUCCGCAAAGGGCGUAAGCCUGACGGAGCAACGCCGCGUGAGUGAUGAAGGUCUUCGGAUCGUAAAACUCUGUUAUUAGGGAAGAACAAAUGUGUAAGUAACUAUGCACGUCUUGACGGUACCUAAUCAGAAAGCCACGGCUAACUACGUG
RNAcentral lists this ribosomal RNA (497 nucleotides) under uncultured bacterium. RNAcentral describes it as "partial 16S ribosomal RNA". It matches the Rfam family "Bacterial small subunit ribosomal RNA", at positions 28 to 507 of the family's 1533-position model. The record is from RNAcentral.